Molecule: ribosomal RNA, 1402 nt
Filed under: uncultured bacterium
Lineage: Bacteria
Description: 16S ribosomal RNA
Rfam family: Bacterial small subunit ribosomal RNA
Source: RNAcentral
AGAGUUUGAUCCUGGCUCAGGAUGAACGCUAGCGGCAGGCUUAACACAUGCAAGUCGAGGGGCAGCGGGGAGGAAGCUUGCUUUCUCCGCCGGCGACCGGCGCACGGGUGAGUAACACGUAUGCAACCUGCCCCUGUCAGGGGGACAACCCGCCGAAAGGCGGGCUAAACCCGCGUACAUGCCACCGGGGCAUCCCGGAGGCAGGAAAGGCUUCGGCCGGACAGGGAUGGGCAUGCGGCGCAUUAGGCAGUAGGCGGGGUAACGGCCCACCUAACCGACGAUGCGUAGGGGUUCUGAGAGGAAGGUCCCCCGCACUGGUACUGAGACACGGACCAGACUCCUACGGGAGGCAGCAGUGAGGAAUAUUGGUCAAUGGUCGGGAGACUGAACCAGCCAAGCCGCGUGAGGGAGGAAGGUACAGAGUAUCGUAAACCUCUUUUGUCAGGGAACAAAGGCGGGGACGUGUCCCCGGAUGAGUGUACCUGAAGAAAAAGCAUCGGCUAACUCCGUGCCAGCAGCCGCGGUAAUACGGAGGAUGCGAGCGUUAUCCGGAUUUAUUGGGUUUAAAGGGUGCGCAGGCGGUCUGUUAAGUCAGCGGUCAAAGCCCGGGGCUCAACCCCGGCCCGCCGUUGAAACUGGCAGUCUCGAGUUGGAGAGAAGUAUGCGGAAUGCGCGGUGUAGCGGUGAAAUGCAUAGAUAUCGCGCAGAACUCCGAUUGCGAAGGCAGCAUGCCGGCUCCACACUGACGCUGAGGCACGAAAGCGUGGGUAUCGAACAGGAUUAGAUACCCUGGUAGUCCACGCAGUAAACGAUGAAUGCUGGCUGUCCGGGGGGAUUGACCCCUGGGUGGCGAAGCGAAAGCGAUAAGCAUUCCACCUGGGGAGUACGCCGGCAACGGUGAAACUCAAAGGAAUUGACGGGGGCCCGCACAAGCGGAGGAACAUGUGGUUUAAUUCGAUGAUACGCGAGGAACCUUACCCGGGCUCAAACGGGGAGUGACUCAGGCAGAGACGCCUGUUUCCCACGGGACACUCCCCGAGGUGCUGCAUGGUUGUCGUCAGCUCGUGCCGUGAGGUGUCGGCUUAAGUGCCAUAACGAGCGCAACCCCCGCGUGCAGUUGCUAACAGAUAACGCUGAGGACUCUGCACGGACUGCCGGCGCAAGCCGCGAGGAAGGCGGGGAUGACGUCAAAUCAGCACGGCCCUUACGUCCGGGGCGACACACGUGUUACAAUGGGUGGUACAGCGGGAAGCCAGGCGGCGACGCCGAGCGGAACCCGAAAUCCACUCUCAGUUCGGAUCGGAGUCUGCAACCCGACUCCGUGAAGCUGGAUUCGCUAGUAAUCGCGCAUCAGCCAUGGCGCGGUGAAUACGUUCCCGGGCCUUGCACACACCGCCCGUCA